CCUUCGGGUACGAAUUGAGACAGGUGGUGCAUGGUUGUCGUCAGCUCGUGUCGUGAGAUGUGGGUUAAGUCCCGCAACGAGCGCAACCCUUGUGUUUAGUUGCAAACAGGUCAAGCUGUGCACUCUAGACAGACUGCCGUGGACAACACGGAGGAAGGUGGGGAUGACGUCAAAUCAUCAUGCCCCUUAUGAUCUGGGCUACACACGUGCUACAAUGGCCGGUACAACGGGCAGCGAAGGAGCGAUCCGGAGCGAAUCCUAAAAAGCCGGUCCCAGUUCGGAUUGCAGGCUAAAACUCGCCUACAUGAAGUUGGAGUUGCUAGUAAUCGCGAAUCAGAAUGUCGCGGUGAAUGCGUUCCCGGGUCUU
This 367-nucleotide ribosomal RNA is filed under the name uncultured Fusibacter sp. RNAcentral's name for it is "bacterial SSU rRNA". It matches the Rfam family "Bacterial small subunit ribosomal RNA", at positions 1013 to 1382 of the family's 1533-position model. The record is from RNAcentral. Lineage: Bacteria; Bacillati; Bacillota; Clostridia; Eubacteriales; Fusibacteraceae.